AUGCAGCCGGCCGUGUUCGAGGCCCUGCUCCAUUUUAUCUACACCGAUUCGCUGCCCGCCAUGGUUGAUCCUGGCCGUGAUGACUACAAAGAGAUUGUUAUGCAUUUGUUUGUCGCGGCGGAUCGGUAUGCCAUGGAGAGGCUCAAGGUCAUAUGUGAAAGCAUCCUCUGUAAGAACAUUCAUGCAAAGACCGUGAUGACCUCGCUAGCCUUGGCUGAUCAGCAUCGCUGCAACAGGUUGAAUGAUGCUUGCAUUCAGUUCAUUGCCUCCUUGGAUGCAACGGAACUGGAUGAUGUGAUAGCGAGCCAAGAGUAUGCUGAGCUCAAAGCAACAUCUCCUUUGGUUUUAGUUGAACGAAUAGGCUCGGCAAAUCAAAGUCGUCAGUUCAUAUUGGUAGUUUAG
This 402-nucleotide ribosomal RNA is filed under the name Triticum aestivum (bread wheat). RNAcentral describes it as "partial small subunit ribosomal RNA". The record is from RNAcentral. Lineage: Eukaryota; Viridiplantae; Streptophyta; Magnoliopsida; Poales; Poaceae.